Molecule: non-coding RNA, 73 nt
Organism: Annulohypoxylon truncatum
Lineage: Eukaryota; Fungi; Ascomycota; Sordariomycetes; Xylariales; Hypoxylaceae
Source: the annotation of a RefSeq genome assembly
GAUCCCGUAGCUCAAGUGAUUAGAGCAUCACACGAGAGUGUGCAGGUCGAGAGUUCGAGUCUCUUCGGAAUCA